RNAcentral lists this ribosomal RNA (774 nucleotides) under uncultured bacterium. Its description in RNAcentral is "bacterial SSU rRNA". It matches the Rfam family "Bacterial small subunit ribosomal RNA", at positions 616 to 1391 of the family's 1533-position model. The record is from RNAcentral.
GGGAACUGCGUUNUGAACUGGGUGACUAGAGUGUNUCAGAGGGAGGUAGAAUUCCACGUGUAGCAGUGAAAUGCGUAGAGAUGUGGAGGAAUACCGAUGGCGAAGGCAGCCUCCUGGGAUANCACUGACGUUCAUGCCCGAAAGCGUGGGUAGCAAACAGGAUUAGAUACCCUGGUAGUCCACGCCCUAAACGAUGUCGAUUAGCUGUUGGGCAGCAUGACUGCUUAGUAGCGAAGCUAACGCGUGAAAUCGACCGCCUGGGAAGUACGGUCGCAAGAUUAAAACUCAAAGGAAUUGACGGGGACCCGCACAAGCGGUGGAUGAUGUGGAUUAAUUCGAUGCAACGCGAAGAACCUUACCUGGUCUUGACAUGUACGGAACCCUCCAGAGACGGAGGGGUGCCUUCGGGAGCCGUAACACAGGUGCUGCAUGGCUGUCGUCAGCUCGUGUCGUGAGAUGUUGGGUUAAGUCCCGCAACGAGCGCAACCCUUGUCAUUAGUUGCCAUCAUUAAGUUGGGCACUCUAAUGAGACUGCCGGUGACAAGCCGGAGGAAGGUGGGGAUGACGUCAAGUCCUCAUGGCCCUUAUGACCAGGGCUUCACACGUCAUACAAUGGUCGGUACAGAGGGUAGCCAAGCCGCGAGGUGGAGCCAAUCUCACAAAACCGAUCGUAGUCCGGAUUGCACUCUGCAACUCGAGUGCAUGAAGUCGGAAUCGCUAGUAAUCGCAGGUCAGCAUACUGCGGUGAAUACGUUCCCGGGUCUUGUACACACC